CUCAACCCUACAGGGACUCAAGCUCCUGCACUCAAGACCCUUCCAGACUUGCGCUAUGUACCUCUUCGCCUGGCUGUUCAUCCGUCUUCUUUAUAAUAAACCAGUAAAUAUUACUAGAUAAUUGAAGAAUCUGCCUUCUGUCUCCCUAGCACCUUGCAGAGUGCUGAAAACACGAAAGUGUCCUCGUGUCAAGGUAGAGCCAAAAGAAUACUCGUGGCAAGCAACAAG
This is a long non-coding RNA of Hipposideros armiger (great roundleaf bat), 228 nucleotides long. RefSeq lists it as uncharacterized. The transcript is spliced from 3 exons. Lineage: Eukaryota; Metazoa; Chordata; Mammalia; Chiroptera; Hipposideridae. The record is from RefSeq and is a predicted model, not a curated record.